Molecule: transfer RNA, 76 nt
Filed under: Planctomycetes bacterium RIFCSPHIGHO2_12_FULL_51_37
Lineage: Bacteria; Pseudomonadati; Planctomycetota
Also listed under: 3 other names
Description: tRNA-Ala
Rfam family: tRNA
About the family: Transfer RNA (tRNA) molecules are approximately 80 nucleotides in length. Their secondary structure includes four short double-helical elements and three loops (D, anti-codon, and T loops).
Source: RNAcentral
GGGGACGUAGCUCAGUUGGGAGAGCGCGGCACUCGCAUUGCCGAGGUCGUGGGUUCGAAUCCCAUCGUCUCCACCA